Molecule: microRNA precursor, 83 nt
Filed under: Cavia porcellus (domestic guinea pig)
Lineage: Eukaryota; Metazoa; Chordata; Mammalia; Rodentia; Caviidae
Description: mir-1343 microRNA precursor family
Rfam family: mir-1343 microRNA precursor family
Source: Rfam by way of RNAcentral
CUGGCGUCGGUGCUGGGGAGCGGCCCUCGGGGCCGGCCUUCACUGCGGCCGCUACUGGGACCAGCACUCUCGCUGAGGGCCCG